This is a non-coding RNA of Arachis ipaensis, 1303 nucleotides long. Lineage: Eukaryota; Viridiplantae; Streptophyta; Magnoliopsida; Fabales; Fabaceae. The record is from RefSeq and is a predicted model, not a curated record.
AAAUUACAAAAACACCCCUAAUUGUAAAAUGAAACCCUAACCUAAAUCCCGUUUCAAUUUCCAUCCCCUUUCUCCUGAGCUCCAACCGAGAAGUGAAGGAAUCACAUGUCAAUCUCGCCGCCGGAAGCAGCGCCAACGAUCCCGUCGGGUAAGGUACGCCACAGCUUCUCUGAUGCUUGUCAAUUGCGCCGUCAGUUACUGGUGAGGCUCAGGUUGUUGUGUCGUUCCCCGCCUCUACCUCUACGUCUGCCUCGCCAGCGUUGCCGCCGUUCUGCUCUACGCUUUCCUCGGAGCUGUGUCUCUUCUCUCCUCUCCUUCUCUCUCGAUUGUCGCCGUUAUACUCAUGUAGGUUUGAAACUGAUUUUAAAGCUUACGUUGGUGUUUGGAAAGGGAUAUAUGCCCUGGAGGGAAAUAAACGGUUCAUAGUGAAGGAUCCUCGCAGAGCUCAUUUGUUUUACCUGCCAUUCAGUUCACAAAAGCUAAGAAUUACUCUUGCUGAACAAAAGCUUAAUGGUAAGCAGAUGGAGCAAUACCUAGAGAGGUAUGUGCAUUUAAUCGCAAGAAGAUAUCGAUUCUGGAAUAGAACUAGGGGAGCAGACCAUUUUCUUGUUGCUUGUCAUGACUGGGUGAAUGAAGAAGAAGCCUCCCUCUUUGAUGUGCUACAGUUAUUACUUGCAAGUGUUAUAUUUGUAUCAUUAUUUCAAAAACUUCCCAAAGUGAGUUUUGGAACCAUUGGAGACUAUGUUCUUUUUCUUGCACGUAGUAGUAUAAAGAUUUGAAGAGUUGGCCUUUAAACCAAUAUAGCCAGCCCCAGAAACCGAAGCUGCAAAACUUCCAGCAUACAUAUUUCUCAAACUGAAGGUUGAUCUGAUCUUGAAGGAGGCAUUGAUGAACUUGUGAACAAAAGAAUAAUAUAAUGGAAUGAAGGGAGAUGCUGAAAGAUGAUAGUAUUUACUAUUUAGUAAACUAUGGGCACUUGAAAGUGGAGAGUUGCAUAUAAAGCUACAAAGCCUUGAUCUCAUCGACGCUCAAUAGUAAAAAUGUAAAAUUACAUUAUUGUUAGCAUCAUGUUUUUAAAGUAAUUAUAAUUAUUUGUUAGAGUUUCUGCUAUGCUACUCUAGCAAUGCAAGUUGUAAGAUAGUAUAGUUUUAUUUUACAAGUUUGGCUGGAUGUGACAUUAUUGUGGACAUGUCGAAAACCUUAUUUACAAGUACUACAAAGUGCUAGGUGUUCAUUCAAUUACAUCUGAAAUCUCUGGCAUUUUGGAACUUAUUGGCAAUGAAAAUAACGUACCGUUUGCUUA